Molecule: long non-coding RNA, 1163 nt
Organism: Drosophila persimilis
Lineage: Eukaryota; Metazoa; Arthropoda; Insecta; Diptera; Drosophilidae
Exons: 3
Source: RefSeq, a predicted model, not a curated record
UCCGAAAUGAGAUUCGCAAGAGGCAGGACGAUGCGAUUGAAGGAACAAGAAUUGCUGUGGCACAGUGGAUGGGAUGAUGCUGGCCUACCUGCAGAACCGGUACAUACGGAGCCACUACUUAUACAUACAUAUGUGUACCAUUUUGAUCUGGUCCAAAGACGUAUGCAGCUUUGACUGGAUUUAUCCUUGAUGGACUGCGAUUUCAAUCAAAUAUAGAUAAUUCAGACACAACAACGAAACAAACAUAAUAAACCAAGCCUGAAGUUAAAAACAUUAAUGCGUGCCCAAAAAAGCACGCAGAUUUCACCAAAUUUAAAAAUAUGGGACGGCGAGGUCCGGGUUCGAUGCCUAAAGGUAAGACCGCACCGAGGCAGAAGCAACAAAGGCAUUAUCUGCAUCAGGUGCAGCAGGCGACCGCCAAUUGGGUUUGGGUUUACAAGCCAUGCGGAGGGUGGAGGGGCGGAGAGAAUCCUCAGUGAGUUUUGAUCGCCUCUUCAAGGACCUUUCGAUCAUUACUUAAAAUGUACUUUCUGCAAUGCAAAAGCACUAUUAUUCCUAUUGUGUGCAUAUAUCCUCUUUGCUUGUACGAGGGUAUGUGGGUCAGGCCCACACAAUAAAAAAAGAGAUGAAAAGGCGCAUGGGCGCAAGAAGGAUGCAUGUCCUGGCUCAGAGCCCCGAUACGCAGCGUGUGUGCUCUUUUGACUUUUGAUUAAAUUCGCACGCGCCAAAACCCCAAAAAAAAAACAAAAUACAUGCAUGGUCAUGUGGAAGUUUCCCAAAAAAUGAACAAAUAUGAACUGAAAAUUCCCCAAAGGGGGGGUCCCGACUAUGGAUAUACCCUCUCUUGGGCCUGACACAUAAAGAAGGUCUUUUCUCUUCCGUGGAUAUGCCACACAAAUCUUGAUGAAGGGUUCCUUAGUCUUUGCUUUUUAAAAUUGUUAUUUAUUUUGUUGUUUUUUGCAGUGAUUUUACGAAAUUCCUAUAAAUUAGUAUUUACCUGUGUACAGGAUUAAAAAACAGAUCUUAAAUAUUUGUUUUUGCAAUAUCUGCAGAAUUAAAAAAAAAGAGAAUUCUUGGAUCUAUCUAAGACAUAUUAUGUUGAGGGCACUUUUAAUGGUAGUACCUAAUAUUAUAAUAUAAAAAAAAUUCAAAUGGUUUAAAAA